CACAGGUUUGGUCCUGCUGGAGUUCUUCCAAAGUGUGCAAACUGUACUUCAGCUAAAGAAGUCUGUAGGGAGCACAUAGAGCAGAUGAACAGCAAGUGCUUCGGGACUGCGCUUGACAAGACUCUGGCAGGUGGGAAGCCCAAAAGCAAAGCAGGCAUUUGAAGGCGCUAUUUGGGAGCAAAUAUUUAACAUACCAGGGGAUUGGGAAGUAAUGUUGAUUUCUCAUUAUGAUUCCCAUUUUCUUGUCAUCUCUAGAAGGGGGCGCUUAUGACUCCAAAUAAUACAAAGAAUCCACCACUAUCAAAUCUUAACGGUUGCAAGAUCCGAACUUGGUGCUUUUAAACAGCUGUCAGGAGGAAAGGCAAAAACGGUUAUUAACAAACCAGUACCAUCUUUACUAAACUGAAAUACUGACUGCGUUCGUUUUGGCUCAGGUUGUUCUUGGAAGCUUUAAAAACAUCCCAGUGAGAGUCUUUCAUUUUUGUUAGUGCAGAUGAUUUUCUGUUGGCUUUUGCUUAACUUCAGCUGAGUUUUAUGCAAAUGCAUCACAGACAGGGGCUUAAAAUAGCCAGAUGGUCAUUGCAAAGUGUUCAGACUUGUACUUCCCCUUUCCCUCACCCUUCUCACAUGCUGCGAUCCCCGGUACUAUGGAAUUGGGACUGACAGAAACUAUGAAGAAGUCUUGGUCACAAAAUCUCCAUGGUAGAAGAGUAUAUCCAUUGAAAGAGGCCUUAAUUCUCAUGUAUCGUAAGGUUGACUCAAUGAUUCAUGAGCUACUCUUAUCCAGAGGAAAAAAAAAUACAACGUGGAUACCUUUAAAUCCAUUUCUUAAGAACUGUGAAAUUGUGUUCAGAAUAUGGGGCACCAAGACCUGAAAGUGCACAUGACUGCUAUGGAUUGGGGGCUGAGGAUUUGGUGAGUCUAUGUUAAUAUGUGAAUUAAUUAGUGAAAGAUGGUACAGUGAACCCAUAAACUAGAAAAAUACAAUAAAUAUAUUUUAUCAGCACCUGCUUGUGGUUGUUGUAUUAGAAAAAAGAAAUUGACUGCUUGGAAAGUUAGACUGGGUACAGUUAAGAGACAUAUAUGGUAGGAAUCUGAGAAUCACUUCCACAUCCAUUUUCUGCCAAGUUUAACAUACCUAAAGUUCCCAUAGAGGAGGAAAAAGUCUCCUAAGAUGAUUUGAUAAUGCAAUUCUCUCAGGAGGUUUGGUGAUUGGGGUUGUAAUGAUUGUGACUGUCAAAGUUGUAGGGCACUUCUGCUAGGAUGUGAACUGUCACUCUGUCCAUUUAAAUCCUGUACAUCAAGAAAAAUCUCUUCGUCAUGCAAGUCUUGGGUUGAAUGCUCUCCCUCACAUGCAAGUCCCUUUCAAAGCUCCGCUGCCCUUACCAAAUAUGUGUAGUCUCCUCUCCAUACAGCUCAGGUGCUCAGUGCUCCAGUCUGUCCCCAUAAGUCAGGGCUUCUAAUUCCCCUACCAUCCUUUUUUGAGUGAUUGGGAAGACUGAUCAUCGAAAUUUCCUGUCUCCUCUUGUGACUUCCAGGGAAAAUCCUAUAGCAGUUUAUCUUGGUUGAGAUUAUUCAUUCUAGCAUGUAUUUCUGGACUUGUUUCUCUCUCUUUCUCUCUCACUCUCUUUUGCCUCAGCACCUACAUGAACAGUCUUUACUUCAACCUGUACAGAGAGUAGACUUUAGAGUUUUCCUACCUCCUGGUGUUUUCUUCGACCUCCUCUCCUUCCCAGAAGUCUUACAGGUUCUCCUUUAAGAUUGUCAACAAAAACAAGUUGAUUAGCCCUUUCUCUCACUCCCAAGUGUUACUUGUCUUCCCUGGAAAAUGGGCAGCUGUCGUUUCUUUCAGAAUUCCCUAAUUCCUUUUCUUGAAAAAGUUAAAAUUCUUAGUAAAUGAUCCUCUUUCUCCUACAACCAAACCACCAGUCCAGCCAACCAAACAAAACACCUUCACCGGGGUAUCUCAUAACUUCCUCCUCAUUUGAGACAUAUUAGUUCAAAUAAUACUUUGUAUGUGUUGAACUGCCUAGUUUUAAAAUUUCUUGACUACAGAAAUUAAACCAUAUAAUUAUUUGCUUUAUUUGUGUGAUCGUAACUAUUUGUUUUAGAACAGCAUGAGUGUAAAAAAAGUCUCUGUAUUUUUUGUUUGUUUGUUUGUCUUGGUUUUGUUUUUUAUGAAAACACACGACCUGGCUAGACUCAGGUACCAAAGCUAUAGAGAACUGAUGAAAUGAGAGUAAGCAACACACAUCUGUGUCCUCUAAAAGUUACAGAGCUCUCCUUGAACUGUGAUUCUGGAUGAAUAUGUAAACACACUAUGUCAGCGUAACUCAGUCAAGCUAUUAUAUUGUAUAAGGUAAGAUGAGAGAAUUUCAUAGGAGACAAUUUCCACAUUAUUUCAAGUAAAAUAUUUACCUUCUCUUCUUAAUUCCUCACACUACACAUAACUUCUCUUGAACUAUAUAGCUUUCGGUACUACUGAAAGAAAGCAAAAUUCCCUUUUAAUCAUGAUCAUAUUUCCUCUCUCUAGGCUUCCAACAAGACAGACUUUCUUUUCUAUAAAGAUGUUUAAAUCCUCAAAAUGUCCUUUGUGCCUCUGGUUUCUUAAUUUCCAAAGUGGUCUUUACAGACUAAAAGACACUCUGUUAUUUAGCAAUAACAUAGAUGCUAACCAUAAUAAGAUGUAGUUGAGAGCUGACAAAGCAUUCUGGGUAAUGGUAUAAAAAUUAGCACAUUAAGCAUUUUUUAUACUUGCAUUCUGAUUAAAGCUUAUAGAGUAAAUCAGUGGUGCUCCUCGUCAUUAAAUUGAGGCUACUAAUAAAAUGAUAAAUUGAAAAGAAAAAGAAAAAUCGUUAAUAGUGCUUGAUGGUGUGAUUUCUCAUACAUAACCAGUUCAUUGCCAAAGAGGUGUAAUAAAAGUCCUACCAUUUGUGCUGGGAGAGUGAAAAACUUGAGUUAUAAGCAAUUAAAUAAAUUCCAGUUUAAAAUAAGUAUACCAGCAAGUUGCAUAUUUACAUGCCUGUUAUUUUUCAUGACAUGAUUAGAAAAGAGAAAAGAAAUAUUUUAUGUUUAUUUCUGAUGCAAUAGUAGCAUCUGCUCUUACUGCUGCUCUAUGUUUAUAGAAUUUCUUUCUGAUAUCUAUUUACUCCUGGGCAUUUCAAUCAUUUUGAGGAAAAUAAGCGUUUGGCUUCCCCCCAUCUCUCCCAUAUGAUGCUUGAAUGAAUUGUAUAUGAAAAAAAAAAGUUAGUUUUAUUUAAGAACUUAUUUUUAGCAAAUUAUACUUUUCACAAAAAUUACUUUUAGAGAAUAGAUGCAGUUACCAAUUAUUGGUCAUAUUUAGUAGGUACUUUGUUUUUUUUUUUUUAAUUUUUUUUAAAUUUAUUAUUAUUUAUUUUUAUGAUAGUCACAGAGAGAGAGAGAGAGAGGCAGAGACACAGGCAGAGGGAGAAGCAGGCUCCAUGCACCGGGAGCCCGUUGUGGGAUUCGAUCCCAGGUCUCCAGGAUCGCGCCCUGGGCCAAAGGCAGGCGCCAAACCGCUGUGCCACCCAGGGAUCCCUAGUAGGUACUUUGUAUUUGAUUUCUUUCUCAAGAACUUUCAUAUUUUAAAAUCUCAUCUCCAAUCCACAUAAUUUGACUUUUAAUACCACUUGCUCUGCAUUCUUAAAAGUUAUUGAAGGAUAAUGAUGAUUAUGGAGCCUAUAUUUAACCUAUCUGGAUGCAUUUCAAUGUCAUCAUCUGCACUCAGUAUAGACUCUAACUGGGUUUAUUAAAAAACAAACAGACAAAACCUUGCUGAGAUACUCUGUUCCAGCCAGGGUUUAACGCUUCCAUGCAUGUAUAUUUCUUUGCCUGUAGUAGCUACUUCUCUACACAUUCAUGACCUUUACUGCCUUUAAGCACUGAUUGGAUAUCACCUCCUCUGUGAGGUCUUUUCUGAGCAACCGUUUUUCCUCAGCGUAUUCACUUAACAUCCCAUUAACAUUUAGGCAUAUAAUUUCAUAAGACCAUUAAUUGAUUAUGUUCAUGUUUCUUGCACAUAUUCAUUGGGCUUUAUCUUGUGUUAGUCCUGUUAUUUUCAUUAGGAAUAUGGAUUUUCAGAUAUUGUAUGACAAUAAGUUUUGAGGAAUCAGUGGUUUACCCCCCAGAUCUUCUACCUACUGAUCCAUAAGUCAUUAUUUUUUCUGUAAUUAGUGUCUUGGAUGCUGUCAUAAUUUUUUAUUAGAAGUAUUAAGCUUGGGAUCCCUGGGUGGCGGUGCAGGUUAGCGCCUGCCUCUGGCCCAGGGUGUGAUCCUGGAGACCCGGGAUCGAAUCCCACAUCGGGCUCUCGGUGCAUGGAGCCUGCUUCUCCCUCUGCCUGUGUCUCUGCCUCUCUCUCUUUCUCUCUCUGUGACUAUCAUAAAUAAAUAAAAAUUCAAAAAAAAAAAAAAAGAAGUAUUAAGCUUGAGGGGUGCCUGGGUAGCUCAGAAGGCUAAACGUCUGACUCUUGAUUUUGGCUCAGGUCUUGAUAUUAGGGUCAUGAGUUUGAGCUCCACAUCGGGCUCUGUGCUCAGCAGGGAAGUCUGCUCUGCUUAAGAUUCUCUAACCCCUUCUCCUUCUGCCUCAUUCCCUGCAAACACUUUCUCUAAAAUAAGUAAAUAAAUAAAUAUUUUUUAAAAUUAUGAAUCUUGAAGGAUUCCAUAUGGAAUUUAGCAUAUAUGUUUUAUAUACUCUGCCUUAAGUAGCUUGUCUCAUAUCCUAAAAGAUAUGUAUGUUGACAUGAAGUAGAAAUUCGAAAAGUGAAUACUUCAUAAGUAUUUUAUAAUACUUAAAUGCCUA
This 4818-nucleotide long non-coding RNA is filed under the name Canis lupus familiaris (dog). RNAcentral describes it as "lncRNA (ENSCAFG00030019136.1)". Lineage: Eukaryota; Metazoa; Chordata; Mammalia; Carnivora; Canidae. The record is from RNAcentral.